AGGGUAUGGUAGUAGGUGCCUUUGAACAGGGUAUGGUAGUAGGUGCCUUUGAACAGGGUACGGUAGUAGGUGCCUUUGAACAGGGUACGGUAGUAGGUGCCUUUGAACAGGGUAUGGUAGUAGGUGCCUUUGAACAGGGUAUGGUAGUAGGUGCCUUUGAACAGGGUAUGGUAGUAGGUGCCUUUGAACAGGGUAUGGUAGUAGGUGCCUUUGAACAGGGUACGGUAGUAGGUGCCUUUGAACAGGGUACGGUAGUAGGUGCCUUUGAACAGGGUACGGUAGUAGGUGCCUUUGAACAGGGUACGG
Long non-coding RNA from Oncorhynchus tshawytscha (Chinook salmon), 306 nucleotides. Lineage: Eukaryota; Metazoa; Chordata; Actinopteri; Salmoniformes; Salmonidae. The record is from Ensembl.